RNAcentral lists this ribosomal RNA (442 nucleotides) under uncultured bacterium. Its description in RNAcentral is "partial 16S ribosomal RNA". It matches the Rfam family "Bacterial small subunit ribosomal RNA", at positions 338 to 795 of the family's 1533-position model. The record is from RNAcentral.
CCUACGGGAGGCAGCAGUGGGGAAUAUUGGGCAAUGGGCGCAAGCCUGACCCAGCAACGCCGCGUGAAGGAAGAAGGCUUUCGGGUUGUAAACCUCUUUUAAGAGGGAAGAGCAGAAGACGGUACCUCUUGAAUAAGCAACGGCUAACUACGUGCCAGCAGCCGCGGUAAUACGUAGGGGGCAAGCGUUGUUCGGAUUUACUGGGUGUAAAGGGCGUGUAGCCGGGCUGACAAGUCAGUUGUGAAAUCCGGGGGCUCAACCCCCGAACUGCAUUUGAAACUGUUAGUCUUGAGUAUCGGAGAGGCAGGCGGAAUUCCUGGUGUAGCAGUGAAAUGCGUAGAUAUUGGGAGGAACACCAGUGGCGAAGGCGGCCUGCUGGACGAUAACUGACGGUGAGGCGCGAAAGCGUGGGGAGCAAACAGGAUUAGAUACCCGUGUAGUC